RNAcentral lists this ribosomal RNA (264 nucleotides) under uncultured bacterium. Its description in RNAcentral is "partial 16S ribosomal RNA". It matches the Rfam family "Bacterial small subunit ribosomal RNA", at positions 355 to 615 of the family's 1533-position model. The record is from RNAcentral.
UGAGGAAUAUUGGUCAAUGGGCGCAAGCCUGAACCAGCCAUCCCGCGUGCAGGAAGACGGCGCUAUGCGUUGUAAACUGCUUUUCCAGGGAGAGAAACUUGCGCACGUGUUGCGCAAUUGACGGUACCCUGGGAAUAAGCAUCGGCUAACUCUGUGCCAGCAGCCGCGGUAAUACGGAGGAUGCGAGCGUUAUCCGGAUUCAUUGGGUUUAAAGGGUGCGUAGGCGGACUAUUAAGUCAGUGGUGAAAUCCUGCAGCUUAACGG